CCUACGGGUUGCACCAGUGGGGAAUAUUGGACAAUGGGGGCAACCCUGAUCCAGCAAUGCCGCGUGAGUGAUGCAGGCCUUCGGGUUGUAAAGCUCUUUUGUCAGGGACGAUGAUGACGGUACCUGGAGAAUAAGCCCCGGCUAACUUCGUGCCAGCAGCCGCGGUAAUACGAAGGGGGCAAGCGUUGUUCGGAAUUACUGGGCGUAAAGGGCGCGUAGGCGGCUUAUCAAGUCAGGCGUGAAAUUCCCGGGCUCAACCUGGGGGCUGCGCUUGAUACUGAUGAGCUUGAAUGCGGGAGAGGAUAAUGGAAUUCCCAGUGUAGAGGUGAAAUUCGUAGAUAUUGGGAAGAACACCGGUGGCGAAGGCGGCUAUCUGGCCCGUAAUUGACGCUGAGGCGCGAAAGCGUGGGGAGCAAACAGGAUUAGAUACCCUCGUAGUC
This 440-nucleotide ribosomal RNA is filed under the name uncultured bacterium. RNAcentral describes it as "bacterial SSU rRNA". It matches the Rfam family "Bacterial small subunit ribosomal RNA", at positions 338 to 795 of the family's 1533-position model. The record is from RNAcentral.